This 224-nucleotide unclassified non-coding RNA is filed under the name Hevea brasiliensis (rubber tree). Lineage: Eukaryota; Viridiplantae; Streptophyta; Magnoliopsida; Malpighiales; Euphorbiaceae. The record is from RNAcentral.
GUUCUGUACAUGGUGUUGCUGGGCAAUAUAAUUAUUUUUUCUUUUUUGUUUUAAAAAAAUUAAUUUCUUUUUCUAAUGUUUGUCGACAAUGUUUGGUAAAGAAAAUGUGAUGAAUAUGUAUUCUCUCCUUUACUCUCAAGAAGGAUUAAUGGGUUGAUCUAAAAAUUAUUGUUAAUUUCUUUGUGUAUCAAAUGUAUACUAAAUUACUAGCAUGUGACAGAACU